This is a non-coding RNA of Triticum urartu, 135 nucleotides long. NCBI's taxonomy places the organism in Eukaryota, Viridiplantae, Streptophyta, Magnoliopsida, Poales, Poaceae. The record is from Rfam.
AUACUACUCCCUCCGUCCGGAAAUACUUGUCAUCAAAAUAAAUAAAAGGGGAUGUAUCUAGAUGUAUUUUAGUUCUAGAUACAUCCCUUUUUGUCCAUUUUGAUGACAAGUAUUGUCGGACGGAGGGAGUAGAUU